RNAcentral lists this transfer RNA (72 nucleotides) under Aedes aegypti (yellow fever mosquito). It matches the Rfam family "tRNA". Rfam says of the family: Transfer RNA (tRNA) molecules are approximately 80 nucleotides in length. Their secondary structure includes four short double-helical elements and three loops (D, anti-codon, and T loops). The record is from Rfam by way of RNAcentral. Lineage: Eukaryota; Metazoa; Arthropoda; Insecta; Diptera; Culicidae.
GGGUCCGUAGCCUUGAGGUUAUGCUUUCGCUUCAUAAGUGGAUGGUCAUGGGUUCGAUUCCCAGCCCAUCCA